AUACGGAGGGGGUUAGCGUUGUUCGGAAUUACUGGGCGUAAAGCGUACGUAGGCGGACUGGAAAGUUGGGGGUGAAAUCCCGGGGCUCAACCCCGGAACUGCCUCCAAAACUUCCAAUCUAGAGAUCGAGAGAGGUGAGUGGAAUUCCAAGUGUAGAGGUGAAAUUCGUAGAUAUUUGGAGGAACACCAGUGGCGAAAGCGGCUCACUGGCUCGAUACUGACGCUGAGGUACGAAAGCGUGGGGAGCAAACAGGAUUAGAAACCCUAGUAGUCC
This 274-nucleotide ribosomal RNA is filed under the name uncultured bacterium. RNAcentral's name for it is "partial 16S ribosomal RNA". It matches the Rfam family "Bacterial small subunit ribosomal RNA", at positions 523 to 796 of the family's 1533-position model. The record is from RNAcentral.